Molecule: long non-coding RNA, 2789 nt
Filed under: Mytilus galloprovincialis (Mediterranean mussel)
Lineage: Eukaryota; Metazoa; Mollusca; Bivalvia; Mytilida; Mytilidae
Source: RNAcentral
UUGGUCAAGGUAGUUUUUGAUGAAGUUGAAGUCCAAUCAACUUGAAACUUAGUAUACAUGUGCCCUAUGAUAUGAUCUUUCUAAUUUAAAUGCCAAAUUAGAGUUUUGACCCCAAUUUUACGGUUCACUGAACAUAGAAAAUGACAGUGCAAAUUUCAGGUUAAAGUUUUUGGUCAAGGUAGUUUUUGAUAAAGUAGAAGUCCAAUCAACUUGAAACUUAGUAUACAUGUUCCCUUUGAUAAGAUCAUUCUAAUUUUAAUGCCAAAUUAGAGAAUUUAUUCCAAUUUCACAGUCCUUUAAACAUAGAAAAUGAUAGUGUGAGUGGGGCAUCCGUGUACUGUGGACACAUUCUUGUUUAUGGAUAUUUUUAAUUAAUAACUUUCCCAGACUAAACACUUAUUGGUACUGAAUAUUCAUUUUAUGCUGACCAAAUCAAUUAAAUUGUCAUAAUAAAGGUAUACAUAGCACCAUUUUGGAAUCAUAUGAAAUAAGUGCCUUCUUAUUACAUGCAAGGUACUGAAAACCCAGCAUUGCUUCUACUAUGGAAAAGUAUUGAAUUGAAAUUGCACACCAACAGUAUACAAGAAAAAGGCAGCAACAAACACUUUAGUUUGCUGUUACUUUACAAGGUGGAAGUCAUUUAAAUAAUUCCUGUAAAUUCAUUUUCAUGGAAUACCAAUUUAUGUGGAUUUCGUGGUUAUAGGUGGACCAUGCAUGAUUUUCAAUGUUUUGUAAAAAUAAAAAAAGUCGACAGGCUUAUAUGCAGAUUUCAGAUAUAAAAAAAAUACAAUCUUUUUUCUCAAUCCACCAAAAAAUUGGUACCCACUAAAAUAUAGAAUCUACAAUAGUGGGUUUUGGCAUACUUGGAAGAUGUCUGUAGUUUGAGACCACAGUUCGUAAAUGUAAUAUUAAUCAGCCAACUUGUUUGUAGUUCUAUACAAGUCUUACAUUGUAGCUUUGAAACAAAUUCAAACUUAAAAAAUAUUUUAUUUGCUAAUAAAUGAGAGAGAUAGCAAUUGGGAAACAUUGUUUCAAAAUGAAAAUUUGUUUACUAGAAUAUAGUUCCUUACUAAGCCACAUUUUACCUGUAGUUUCUUUUCACGUUCACACCAGAAUACAAUUCUAAUAUAUGUUCUUUAUUUCCUUAUAGUUUUUGAUGUCCAUGUUAACAUUUAGUCAUACCACAUAUUUCCUGUCUCUUAUGCAAACUGUAUGAAAAAAAGUCAUAAACCUGUGCCAAGUUAAAUAAAUUAUCAUUAUAAUAAGCCUGUGUCUAACAUUUAUUGAAUGUUUUGACUGUUUAAUAUCAGGGAAUCCUUUCAUAUGUGGGCUGGCUCAUGUCUUUAUUAAUGUCAAAAUUCCUACAAGGAAACAACAAUUAAUUACUCUGUUAAUAAUAGAAUUGAAAGUUUUUCAUGAUAUAGAAAUAAGCUUUAAUAAGUCUUCAUAUGCUUGAUUAUUUAUUGCAAACCCAAUUGUACCUUUCCAUAGAUUCACCUGAUAGCUUGUCCAUUUAAACUUUUGGUAGUUCAUUUGUCCCAUUCAACAAAUACAACAGGUAUAAUAUUUGUCCUCUGUUUAGUUUAUUCACUGGGACCUUUAAAUUUCUUCUAAGAGAAAUCUAUCACUCACUGAUUAAUCUACCUGAGUAAAAAAAAUAUCUGCUAAAUUGAUGGAAAUAACAUGUUUACUUUUAAUUAAAAACUGCAUAUAAGUUUGAAUUUAUUAUAUUUUCAAUCUGUUGAAUGUAAACACUAAUUCAAACAUUAAUAAAAGUUGAUUUCUGAAAAAAAUCCACAUUAUUCCUAUUUCAACAAAAAAAUUGGCAAAAAAACCCUAAAAAAUGGUGAUGUUUAUAUAUUUAUGCCUUCUUAUAAGUAUUCUAUAACUAAACAAAAACUAGAAAAUGCAAAUUUUGACAGGAACAAUACUUAUUUUUUUUAAAUCAAACUUUUUAUGAUUAAAUUGGUAUUUAUUUUGAACAGAUUGAAAAAAAAAUAAUUAUUAAUGUUGAAUAAACACAAAAUAAUAUACAGUUUUUUUAUUAAUAGUAAACAUGUUAUUUCCAUCAAUUUAGCAGAUAAUCUUUUUACUCAGGUAGAUUAAUCAAUCAGUAAUAGAUUUCUCCUAGAAGAAAUUUAAAGGUCCCAGUGAAUAAACUAAACAGAGAACAAAUAUUAUACCUGUUGUAUUUGUUGAAUGGGACAAUAGAACUACCAAAAGUUUAAAUGGACAGGUAACUAUCAGGUGAAUAUAUGGAAAGGUACAAUUGGGUUCGCAAUAAAUUGAAGAAAAAUUAAACAAAAAUACCUUCUAAUAAAUGCUUCUUGUUUGAAAAGUCAAUGUCCAAUUUUGUUGUCGGGUAAUCAUACCACAAAAGUUCUUGGUCUAGGAAUAUUAUAUGAAAUUUGAUCAAACUUUAUCUAAUAACAUUGUAGUGUUAAUUUUGAGAUGAGUUAUAGACUGUCAUUUGCAUUUAGUUCUAGAAACUCUCUAGACUAAGUUUUAGGAGGUUUCCCUUUACAUUUGGCAUUGUCGUACAAAGACGCUUUUUUUGCCAGUUUAUAACAUUUUUAUGUAUGAUAAAGUAUGUUUAUGAAUUUCUAACAUUUCUGUACAUAUGAAAACAUAAUUUAAUAUUUAUAUUUGACUUUAAUUUAAAUCCCUUAAAUAAAUUAUUGUUUUUUAUUUGAUUUAUUAUAUUAAGAAAGUACAUAACAGUCAUAUAAGUUAGCUAUUAAGGUAAAAAUAGAUUUUUUUUAAUGAUAUUUUGUAAUAUUUUAAAGAAG